Molecule: long non-coding RNA, 207 nt
Filed under: Elaeis guineensis (African oil palm)
Lineage: Eukaryota; Viridiplantae; Streptophyta; Magnoliopsida; Arecales; Arecaceae
Description: long non-coding RNA (EGUI_LNC053188)
Source: RNAcentral
GCCCAAAACCAUGACCAAAAUCUUGACUCAUGCUAGAGUCAUGAAGGGUGUCAAACACCCUCCAACCAUCAAAUGCUUGGGCAUCAAAAAUAGAUGCUAAUAUCCUCAUCUACGUGAGAUAUGGAGGAGUCCUUCUCACAAAAGGACUCCUUCCUUUGGGUGCAAAUAAUUUUGAGUGUGAAGACCAUCUUCACAUGGGAUAAUGGG